GUGGGGCCCGCGAACUCAGAGGGUCCCAGGGCGAGCCGCCGUCUCCAGUCCGCCACGCCUGCCUGUCCUUCCGAGUUCCAGUGGACAUUAGGGAAUUGCCCUCCUCCCUCAUCCUCCAGGACUGGGCGCUUCAGAACUUUCUCUCCCUCCUCCUCCCUCUCCCUUGUCAUUUAAAAACUUACAUUCUCUUCUUCAGGAACUGCUUUUGCAAUUCAGUUUUCGUAUCUGCAAAAUGAUAGGAAUAAAGCCAUCAGGUGAACAGAUACUACUAUCUCCAUUUAACAGAAGAGGAAACGAAACCUUACAGGAUUGUUGUGAUAUCACAUUAGAUUAUUUGUAAACAGCUUUCAAAAGGCUGCGAAAGAAUAAAAAAGAAUGUUGUUGCCUGCUGAGCCCUGGGGAACACUGUAGGUGAAUCAGGGUAUUUCAGGUCCCUGGGCUGCCUUGGGACAGGUGCUGUCACCAAACACCAUCAAUUGUUGAGUGUGAACCCUGGAAUGGGGUAAAGCUUACACUGAAGCCAGCGUUUCCACAUCCCAUAUGAUCUGGUGUUUAUGUUUUUCAUUUCCUUACCUCCUUGCCAUAUGCCUUACUGUUGCCUGUAAGAUUAAUAAAUCCCUUAAGAGUUGAUGUGGGGACUUAAGUUCCUUAAGGGCAGAAUUUUUUUUUUUUUAAGUUUUUAAUACUUUAGUGCUUAUGUAUUUGAACUAGUGGUUUUAAAAAAUAUACAACUGACACAUGCUGAUAUAUAAGGUAUAUAGUAAAGAAUAUAAGGAAUGUAAAACGAAAAGCCAAAUUCUCUCUUAUUCCACUACCAACCUCUACGAUCUGAAAGCAAUCAUUAUUAAUGGUGUCUUGUGUAUUCUUUCUGAAUUGUGUGUGUGUGUGUGUGUCUGUGGUGAAGCAUGUGGGCUCAAACCAACUGCAAGAGUCAGAAUUCUAGCUAGGAGUGUGGCCCCCAAGCUGUGUCAUCUUGGACCUGUUACUGAAUCUUUUGCUGACUUUUUUUCUCUCUUCUCCAUGACGGGAAUAGUAAUGGGAGUUACACAUAAGGGUGUUGUGGAUCAAUAUCCCCGCAGCUUGGGUGAGACACCACGUGGUUUUGCAUGGUUGGGAGAAUCUUGCAGAAGUGAGGCCGGGUCCUCUCCCUGUGUCCUGUCAGCUGGUGCAUGGAUACAGUAUGUCUCCUUACUGCUGCUGUGA
Molecule: long non-coding RNA, 1203 nt
Filed under: Papio anubis (olive baboon)
Lineage: Eukaryota; Metazoa; Chordata; Mammalia; Primates; Cercopithecidae
Description: lncRNA (ENSPANG00000038070.1)
Source: RNAcentral